This 72-nucleotide ribosomal RNA is filed under the name Aponogeton tenuispicatus. Its description in RNAcentral is "partial 5.8S ribosomal RNA". Lineage: Eukaryota; Viridiplantae; Streptophyta; Magnoliopsida; Alismatales; Aponogetonaceae. The record is from RNAcentral.
ACCAUCGAGUCUUUGAACGCAAGUUGCGCCCGGAGCCUUCGUGCUGAGGGCACGCCAGCCUGGGCGUCACGC